This 253-nucleotide long non-coding RNA is filed under the name Salvia miltiorrhiza (redroot sage). Its description in RNAcentral is "long non-coding RNA (SMIL_LNC003064)". The record is from RNAcentral. Lineage: Eukaryota; Viridiplantae; Streptophyta; Magnoliopsida; Lamiales; Lamiaceae.
GAGAAGGCGGUGGCCUAGAAGUAGGCGGUGGCCUAGAGAAGUAGGCGGCCGCCUACUACCCCUUUCGUAAAUCCAAAGUAGGCGAGCGGCGAGGCUAGGCGGGCGCCGUGCGCGCAGCGUUUUUGUUUUGGUCCGUUCUCCCUCGUUUCAAGUCGGAUUUUAGAUCCGUUUUCGCCUACGAACUCGUAUCGAGACGAACUUUGAUUCUUCAUCAGACCAUUCAACUAAAUUCUGACUUUAAUUUUGUUCACAU